AAGUGGAUUAGUGGCGCACGGGUGAGUAAUGCAUAGGUUAUGCGCCCUUUAGUCUGGGAUAGCCACUGGAAACGGUGAUUAAUACUGGAUACUCCCUACGGGGGAAAGUUUUUCGCUAAAGGAUCAGCCUAUGUCCUAUCAGCUUGUUGGUGAGGUAAUGGCUCACCAAGGCUAUGACGGGUAUCCGGCCUGAGAGGGUGAUCGGACACACUGGAACUGAGACACGGUCCAGACUCCUACGGGAGGCAGCAGUAGGGAAUAUUGCUCAAUGGGGGAAACCCUGAAAGCAGCAACGCCGCGUGGAGGAUGAAGGUUUUAGGAUUGUAAACUCCUUUUGUAAGAGA
This 344-nucleotide ribosomal RNA is filed under the name uncultured Helicobacter sp. RNAcentral's name for it is "bacterial SSU rRNA". It matches the Rfam family "Bacterial small subunit ribosomal RNA", at positions 85 to 445 of the family's 1533-position model. The record is from RNAcentral. Lineage: Bacteria; Pseudomonadati; Campylobacterota; Epsilonproteobacteria; Campylobacterales; Helicobacteraceae.